Long non-coding RNA from Vidua chalybeata, 2543 nucleotides. RefSeq lists it as uncharacterized. The transcript is spliced from 3 exons. NCBI's taxonomy places the organism in Eukaryota, Metazoa, Chordata, Aves, Passeriformes, Viduidae. The record is from RefSeq and is a predicted model, not a curated record.
AGGACUGGGAUGACUGAAGACCUUCUUUCUCAAAGCUAAAGGAAAGCUGAUUUUUCAGUGUGGUAGUUCCUCCUCAAUUCUCCAGUACUGAUGCCUGCUCCAGAAUAAGGUCCCUCCCACAGGAGACAAUCUUUCAUGAAAACCUCUAAUGUGGGCACCUUCUCACAAGAUGCAGUUCUUCAAGAAUUGUUCCAGCAUACCUUAAACUCCUGUCAUUAUGCUCUACCUGCUUGGGAGAACAUGGUGUCUUUUGGGAAGAUACACCAAGUGUUUGUGUAACAGAUUUUGAUCAUGCAGGUGUUGACAUAUUUGCACAUACAUACUUUUUUUUGCAUAUGCAGUGUGGGGUGAACCAUCAGGGAAGGAUAGACAUCAACAAAGAAUUCCUUUUGUCAUUUGAAGAGUCCAAAUGAGUAUCCUUCUUCUCAAUAUUCUAUUAAAGAGAGCUUUUGGUUGCUACAAAUUUGAAGGCAUCAAAGUGCUUACUGGCAGGGAUUACAGUCUGAUUUGUUUACAAAACUAAUGCUUAUCUCACAUAAGAAUAUGUAGUAAUAAACCUAUUUCAGGACAAAAUGUUUUGGUAGGGCAAUAUGUCAGUAUGCCAGGGAUCUCCUUCCUGCUCUACCCUGGCUGUGGUAUUUCAGCAUAGGCAAUAUAGGCCCCUACAGCAAUGGCACAGAGAUCACAGCAGGAUGUGUUGCAGGCAGGAAAAAAAGAGCAUACCAGCAUCUAGUAAUUUAGUGGUAUGAAUGCUUGGAGGUUUGAUGCUACACACCAGUAGUGUAACUAGUAAUGUAACUAGUCACUGCUCUGCAGACUGUAUCAUGAAGGGAAUACCUCCUACUCUUAGGGUAGAUAAAUUUUUUCAGUACUUGACAGGAAAGCAGGGGAUACAAAGACAAAACUGGUCCAUUGCCACAAUUUAAUCUUCCAGAUACUACUUAACAAAAUAAAUCUGUGGGGUUUGCCUUGUCCAUAUUACUGAUGUGCCUCUUGACCAUAUUACCUCAUGUCUCUUGAUUGUGAUUGUGAGAUGCUGUGCUGUGAGGUCUUACCAGAGGAAGUGCACAAGAGGAAACCCACUGUGUCUUUUCUUGGGGAAACAACUUACCUCAUUUUGUUAACAAAGUUUGAGAUGCUUAUGUAGAACUUCUCUGCCCUUGCAACUGCCAACAUACUAAUGUUUUUAAUUGCAAAGAAAUUGACACUAAAAAGAAGAAAAAAGAACUCUCUGUACCACUAAUUAAGAUAAUAUACCGGAAAAAGAGAACUUCAAUGAAAUGCAGGGCCAGCCUCCCAGUGUACCUGAUAACCAUUUCUUCUGCAAAAUGAGUAUGUAACAAGGAGGAGGGGGACGUAUUUUUUUUAUGUUUCAGAGGGUUUUUUUUUAUAGAUUGUAUUAGAGCAAAAGAGAAUCUGCUUUGUCUAAAAAACAAAAAAAUUCCAAACCGCACAGCCACGUACCGUUUUCACUAUUCAAAACAAUUCCUAUAAUCAGAACUAAUUUUUUUCUAUUUUUCUCAUGAGGACAGUCUAUAAAACUGAAGUACUAUGUGUUUACAGUCUCCUAAUAUUAAAAUGUCUGAAGAAAAAUGUGAUAGUACAGGGUAUUUUGUUAUAAGAAGCACGAGCUUUCCUGCUUUAUUAAACAGAAGAUUUUUUAAAUGUAUUUUUUUUCAUUUAGUUGUCUUUUUUAACUUUGGCAUUAAUUUCCAUUCAAUAAAAUAAGUAUGCCAAAUCUAAAGGAAAUCACAGUCAAUAAUCAAACAUAUUUUUAGAAAAUACUUGUAUGCAGUCUUAUUUGCAAAGUUAUUGCCUUUUUCAUAACUUUUACAAAUGCACUUUUAGUAAAUUUUGUUGAAAACAUGCCUUUAAAAAAAAUUAGGAAAAGUAUGCACAAAUGUGCUUCAAAAAUGUUGAGGUUUUUCAGUAGCAGACUUACAGUAAUUGUAAGUAAUAUUUUUAUUCAUUGCCAAUACAAGGUAUAUAUAAUGUUAGCUGCCUGGCAUGGUUGUUUCAGCUGGCACUUGCUUAACUGAGGAGUACUAUUUUGCUAACCUGUGGAAAUUAGGUCACAUGUGAUUGUGUAAAUGUAUCUUGCUAUAUUAUAAUGAAUUUUCUUUUUUAAAUUUUUUUUUAUGUGUGAUAAAUAUAGCCAAGGUUAUUGCCAGAUGUCUAUGAAUAGAGGGCAAAAAUGACUUCAUAUAAAUAUUUGUGUUUCACAAUACCAAUAUCUUCCCAGUUCCCAGAUCAAGAUUCCUGUACAAGCUCACCCUUGCAUGAUUGACUUCUAAUGACCUCAGUAUAUUAAAAAAGAUGGUUCUCAAAUCUAAAACCGUGAAGCAACAGCACUGCUACAAAGAAAUAGCUGCACUUAGGCCAGACUUGAAAGAUAACAUUCCUCAUCUCAGCCACACUUUUCACUUCACUGGGAAGAUAAAUGGAGCACAAGCCAUACAUAUGGAAAAGAAUAAUUUUUGUUUUUUCAUAGAAAAACCAGUUUACUUCUCAGUUGUCUUUAAUAAACUUUGUAGAAUCUUGAA